Molecule: long non-coding RNA, 244 nt
Organism: Enhydra lutris kenyoni (northern sea otter)
Lineage: Eukaryota; Metazoa; Chordata; Mammalia; Carnivora; Mustelidae
Exons: 3
Source: RefSeq, a predicted model, not a curated record
GGGAUGGCCAUUUCUUCAAUGAUUUACAUGCCAGCCUCUGUAUCUCACAAAAUUUCCAGUAAAACAGUGCAGAUUAAGAGCUCAUUAAUUGUUGGAAGUAGCCCUGGAUUUAAUUGCUCUGAUGUCCUAACUAAUGAUGAUCCCAAUAUUGAACUUUCUGCCGCCCACCGGAGUGCUAGACCUCCAUCAGGUGGGCGAAGUGGGAUUUGCUGGCCUACCUUUGCUUCAGCACAUAACAUGGCAC